GACAGGGAGUGGGAGCAAGCCUGUUUGCCGCUGGAGAAGUCUGGUAAGGUGAGAACCACAGCUCCAAGACUGGGGAAGACCCCGGUCUCCACUGUGAGGACCACGUGACCCGACAAUGACUGGACAGAUGCCGGCUAGUUUUCUGCUGUCUUGAUGGGGUGGUGCAUUUCCCUGUCUUCCUCAGAGGCAGGCUGGGUGCAGGCUCCCUUUCGGGCUUCUGACUCAGAGGGCCUUUCUGGACUAUUUUUUGUGUGUGGAGAGAUUAAUGAAAAAUCUACACAGGAUUUUAAUCUUACUUCAGACCAUAUUCCAGCACAGGUGCCAAACUACAGGACCAAAAUCACCCUGAUUACACCACCAAGAAAUACAGAAGAGAACAAUAUUCCCAGGUCAGCCACAGUAACACAUCACGUCCCUCUGCUGAAUAAAAUGUAUCCUGUGUUAUCUUCUCUGCAACAGAGAAGCUUUUCCAAUCUUAACCGUUCUGUUAUUUUUAACUUUAUAAUGUAACCUGGGGCUAAAAUGGGAAAUUUUCCAGAUCAAGACAUAUUUUUUGUCUCUUGGUCCAUUAGUCUAUACAAAAGACCAUUUGAUUGUUAUUUACUCCACCAGUCAGUAUGUAAUCUGUAUGAUUUGAAUAGUGCAACUAGUGGUACUAGAUUGGAGUUUGUAAUCUUUCCACACAGUAUAUCACACAUACUAAUGAGCUACAUUGCACUGAAUUAUAUAACACACAAUAACAAACAAACCAUUAAGAAGUAAAAGCAGC
RNAcentral lists this long non-coding RNA (769 nucleotides) under Fukomys damarensis (Damara mole-rat). RNAcentral's name for it is "lncRNA (ENSFDAG00000028631.1)". The record is from RNAcentral. Lineage: Eukaryota; Metazoa; Chordata; Mammalia; Rodentia; Bathyergidae.